CAUGCAAGUCGAACGGAGUUAUGUUGACAGAAGCCUUCGGGUGGAAGAUGAGAUAACUUAGUGGCGGACGGGUGAGUAACACGUGAGCAACCUGCCUAUCAGAGGGGGAUAACGUUCUGAAAAGAACGCUAAUACCGCAUAACGUGCGAGGGAGACAUCUCCCUUGUACCAAAGGAGCAAUCCGCUGAUAGAUGGGCUCGCGUCCGAUUAGGUAGUUGGUAGGGUAACGGCCUACCAAGCCGACGAUCGGUAGCCGGACUGAGAGGUUGAACGGCCACAUUGGGACUGAGACACGGCCCAGACUCCUACGGGAGGCAGCAGUGGGGAAUAUUGCACAAUGGGGGAAACCCUGAUGCAGCGACGCCGCGUGAGGGAAGAAGGUUUUCGGAUUGUAAACCUCUGUCCUUGGUGACGAAAAUGACGGUAGCCAAGGAGGAAGCCACGGCUAACUACGUGCCAGCAGCCGCGGUAAUACGUAGGUGGCAAGCGUUGUCCGGAAUUACUGGGUGUAAAGGGAGCGUAGGCGGGAAGAUAAGUUGGACGUCUAAUCUAUCGGCUCAACCGAUAGUCGCGUUCAAAACUGUUUUUCUUGAGUGAAGUAGAGGUAAGCGGAAUUCCUAGUGUAGCGGUGAAAUGCGUAAAUAUUAGGAGGAACACCAGUGGCGAAGGCGGCUUACUGGGCUUUAACUGACGCUGAGGCUCGAAAGCGUGGGUAGCAAACAGGAUUAGAUACCCUGGUAGUCCACGCUGUAAACGAUGAUUACUAGGUGUGGGGGGACUGACCCCUUCCGUGCCGGAGUUAACACAAUAAGUAAUCCACCUGGGGAGUACGACCGCAAGGUUGAAACUCAAGGGAAUUGACGGGGGCCCGCA
This 873-nucleotide ribosomal RNA is filed under the name uncultured bacterium. RNAcentral describes it as "bacterial SSU rRNA". It matches the Rfam family "Bacterial small subunit ribosomal RNA", at positions 54 to 925 of the family's 1533-position model. The record is from RNAcentral.